GCCAGGUGUGGUGUUGCAUGCCUGUAAUCCCAGUUCCUUGGGAGGCUGAGGUAGGAGGAUUGCAAGUUUGAAGCCAGACUCAGAAGCUUAGCAAGUUCUAGGCAACUUAGUAAAAUCCUGGACCUUGU
RNAcentral lists this small RNA (128 nucleotides) under Marmota monax (woodchuck). The record is from RNAcentral. Lineage: Eukaryota; Metazoa; Chordata; Mammalia; Rodentia; Sciuridae.